GACGAACGCUGGCGGCGUGCUUAACACAUGCAAGUCGAACGAAGUGGCGAACGGGUGAGUAACGCGUAAUCAACCGGCCCUUCAGGGGGGAACACCAGUUGGAAACGACUGCUAAUACCCAAUACUGAAGGAGGGGUUUGCGUCUGAUUAGCUAGUCGGAGGGGUAACGGCUCAACAAGGCGAUGAUCAGUAGGCGGGCUGGGAGGAUGAACGACCACAUUGGGACUGAGACACGGGCCAGACUCCUACGGGAAGGAGCAAGGGGGAAACUUUCGACAUGGACGAAAGUCUGACGGAGCAACGCCGCGUGAGUGAUGACGGCCUUCGGGUUGUAAAGCUCUGUUAAUCGGGACGCGGUACCGGAAUAGAAAGCCACGGCUAACUACGUGCCAGCAGCCGCGGUAAUUC
Molecule: ribosomal RNA, 408 nt
Filed under: uncultured bacterium
Lineage: Bacteria
Description: partial 16S ribosomal RNA
Rfam family: Bacterial small subunit ribosomal RNA
Source: RNAcentral